AAAGGAAUAACAUGUUCCUCAUGAAUAGUAAUUUUCUUUGAAACAAACCUAUGGAAGCCAAACUUGCAGAUUUGUCUGAUUGGGAAAGAAGCUCUCAUGGUGAAGCACAGAACAGAGUACUGCCGACUACCUGGGAUGUGUGCUGAGCUUACAAGGCCCAGAUUGAACUUGGAAACAUAACGGUCAAAGGGUGGGGACCGGAUUUCUCUGAGACAAAGCAAGAGUGAACUUCUUCUGGAGUCCAAAAGAAUAAUGUUCUCCUUCUGACAUCUUCUGAGAAAGCCUCUAAUUGCUUUACUGGAAUAACUUGCUUGGAAAGAAAAGAGUUGCUAAGCAAUACUAAUGACAGUCAAAAGCCCACCAACCAUAAUAAUUCCAAUUAUAGGGUAAGCUAGAAGUUAUCUCUCCUUACGUCAGGCCUGUAGAAUAAGGGUGGGAAAUGUAUGAAUUCUCAGGUUGGCAGGAUUCGGGGCACACCUGAGGUCUCAGGGAAGUACUAUACAUCCUUAGAU
RNAcentral lists this long non-coding RNA (512 nucleotides) under Pogona vitticeps (central bearded dragon). Its description in RNAcentral is "lncRNA (ENSPVIG00000007414.1)". The record is from RNAcentral. Lineage: Eukaryota; Metazoa; Chordata; Lepidosauria; Squamata; Agamidae.